Long non-coding RNA from Bos taurus (domestic cattle), 1037 nucleotides. Lineage: Eukaryota; Metazoa; Chordata; Mammalia; Artiodactyla; Bovidae. The record is from Ensembl.
AUUGCUCCCUUUUAUCAACCAGUCACUGGAUGCUGGCAGCUCCUGAAGAGGAAGCACAAACUUUCAGGAGGGAGUUCUCUCCUGCCCAGCGCCAUGCUCAGAGAGGGACUCAGCUGUAAAUCAUCUGCAGCUCUCAGAAGUUGAGGGAGUGAAUCUUGGUUCUGAAAGGAAGCAGGACGGUGCCCUUAUUAUACAGCAGUCCCCAACUGUUUGAUCCCUGGGACCGAUUUCGUGAAAGAUAAUUUUUCCACGGACCAGGGUUAGGGAGGAUGGUUUCAGCACGAUUCAAGCACAUUGAGUUUCUCGCGCACUUUAUUUCUAAUUAAAGCUGCUGCUGAUGUGACAGGAAGUACGGGUCCGUAGCCCGGAGGUUGGGGACAUUUGCCCUACAUCUCCUAGUUAUGUGCAAGCUGCUGCUGCGUUGUGCUCAGUCGUGUCCCAUUCUUUGUGGCCCCACUGACUGUAGCCCUCCUGGCUUCUCUGUCCAUGGGAUUUUCCCAGCAAGAAUAAUGCAGUACACAUAUAGAAAUGUAUCAGCCUUCUAGGUGGCACAGUGGUAAAGAACCCGCUCACCAGUGCAGGAGACAGAAGAGAUGGGGUUCAGUCCCUGGGUCGGGAAGAUCCCCUGGAGAAGGAAAUGGCAACCCGCUCCAGUAUUCUCACCUGGAAAAUUCCAUGGACGGAGGAGGCUGGUGGGCUAUAGUCCUUGGGGUUGAAAAAGAGUUGGACAGACUUAGCAACAAAACAAAAUAAAAACAAUAGAAAUGUAUGAAAGCUAAAUAUAAUGUGGACAAAGACUGUUGCCUGCUAUCAAGCUGUCAGUCACUGCAGCAGCCAGGACAGUGCACCCUAAGGGGAAUUCAGGAUUAAGAAAAACAGGAUAAUGACCCUAGAGAGUUGAUACAUAUCAAAGAAAAAAUUUCAAUGAACCCAGACUCUUGCAUUUUACUACACAUUGAAAAGCACUAAAAUCAUAAACUUGAGAUGUCUGUUUGUUGUGAUUAGCAGUAACCACUUGAUUUUUUUUUUUUUUAUAG